AAACAUGUCCUUUUGUAAUUUAUAUAAGGUCUGACCUGCCCAAUGAUUUUUUAAUGGCCGCGGUAUUUUAACCGUGCUAAGGUAGCAUAAUCAUUUGUCUUUUAAUUAAGGGCUGGAAUGAAAGGUUGGACGAGGUAUUAGCUUUCUUUAAUUUAAUUAUUUGAAUUUUAUUUUUGAGUGAAAAAGCUUAAAUGUUAUUGUUGGACGAGAAGACCCUAUAGAUCUUAAUAUUUUAUUUGGUUAUAAUAUUUAGUGAUUAAUUUUUUGUAACUAAAAUAAAUAUUUGAUUGGGGUGAUUAUAGAAUUAUAUUAACUUCUAUUAAUUAGUUUUCAUUAAUUAAUGUUUUUUUGAUCCAUUCUUAUUGAUUAAAAGAUUAAGUUACCUUAGGGAUAACAGCGUAAUUUCUACGGAGAGUUCAUAUCGAUGUAGGAGUUUGCGACCUCGAUGUUGGAUUAAAAUUAGUUUUGGAUGCAGUAGUUCAAUAACUAGGUCUGUUCGACCUUUUAAUUUUUACAUGAUCUGA
This 524-nucleotide ribosomal RNA is filed under the name Sastrapada sp. UCR ENT 00063341. RNAcentral's name for it is "partial large subunit ribosomal RNA". It matches the Rfam family "Bacterial large subunit ribosomal RNA", at positions 1811 to 2608 of the family's 2925-position model. The record is from RNAcentral. Lineage: Eukaryota; Metazoa; Arthropoda; Insecta; Hemiptera; Reduviidae.